AGAAGAGACACACGAGUGUUUAUCCGGUGAAGAGUGUCUGAUGAAGGAAUGCUGCCAUCAAAGCCUCUCAAUCUUCUGUGGUGGAGCAGGACCUGCAAGGCAAGACUGCUGUGAGCGCUGAGGAUGGAGAGUCCACAGCAGCAUCCUGGAAAUGGUCCAGUGCCAUGAAUGAGACGCUCCAUCACUGCACCUGACCUUACUGCCUCAUCUGAACCAGAUGCUGCUGUGGUCUCUUCAUCAUCAGUGAGCUCAGAGCUAGCGAGAGCAUCUAGAGAAAGACCAAAAGACACUGAGGAUGUGAUA
Long non-coding RNA from Onychostoma macrolepis, 303 nucleotides. RefSeq lists it as uncharacterized. The transcript has 3 exons. NCBI's taxonomy places the organism in Eukaryota, Metazoa, Chordata, Actinopteri, Cypriniformes, Cyprinidae. The record is from RefSeq and is a predicted model, not a curated record.